ACAGCUGCACGUCAGCGUCCUAAAUUGACAGCUACGGCUUAUAUGGCUGCUAAUCACACCUUAGGUAGGAAACGCUGUCGGACCCUGACGUACAGACAGGUGAUUAAUCAACCGAACGUUGUAAAGAUCACGGUUGGUCAAGAGGGAACUGGCCAGGUGUAUUGCAGAUCCCCCGCUCAAGGAGUGGCUGAAGGGUCUGGAAUACAGCAAGGAUUGUCUGGCUUCAUGCUGACCAGACUGGCGAGCUAACCGUUUAAGCGGAUCCGGAAAUACAACACCUAUUAUCUGAGGAAACUCUUCCGAACUGGUUGGAGAUUCAGCUCAACAAGUUUUCAUUGAAGGAACUGGAUUAUUAUUAUUAUUUUGUUUUUUCCCUUUUCAUCAUCAACAAAGACUGGUUGACUGCCUUGGUAUAAGGAACUCUUUUGGACUCUAAAUUGUGGACUAACUUGUAUAUAUUGUAAAUAUUAAUACAACUCACCAAUUUUUGCACCA
Long non-coding RNA from Xiphophorus hellerii (green swordtail), 495 nucleotides. RefSeq lists it as uncharacterized. NCBI's taxonomy places the organism in Eukaryota, Metazoa, Chordata, Actinopteri, Cyprinodontiformes, Poeciliidae. The transcript has 3 exons. The record is from RefSeq and is a predicted model, not a curated record.